This 768-nucleotide ribosomal RNA is filed under the name uncultured bacterium. RNAcentral's name for it is "bacterial SSU rRNA". It matches the Rfam family "Bacterial small subunit ribosomal RNA", at positions 96 to 884 of the family's 1533-position model. The record is from RNAcentral.
UGGCGCACGGGUGAAGUAACACGUGGGAACCUGCCUUUCGGUACGGGAUAACCGCUGGAAACGGCGGCUAAUACCGUAUGUUCCCGGACGAGGUGGUGUUGUCCGGGUAAAGAUUUAUCGCCGAGAGAUGGGCCCGCGGCCGAUUAGCUUGUUGGUGGGGUAACGGCCUACCAAGGCUGCGAUCGGUAGCUGGUCUGAGAGGAUGAUCAGCCACACUGGGACUGGGACACGGCCCAGACUCCUACGGGAGGCAGCAGUGGGGAAUAUUGGACAAUGGGGGCAACCCUGAUCCAGCCAUGCCGCGUGAGUGACGAAGGCCUUAGGGUUGUAAAGCUCUUUCACCCGUGAGGAUGAUGACGGUAGCGGGAGAAGAAGCCCCGGCUAACUCCGUGCCAGCAGCCGCGGUAAUACGGAGGGGGCGAGCGUUGUUCGGAAUUACUGGGCGUAAAGGGCGCGUAGGCGGCCGGUUUCGUUAGGUGUGAAAGCCCCGGGCUCAACCUGGGAACUGCACUUAAUACGGGCCGGCUCGAGAGCGGGAGAGGAGUGUGGAAUUCCCAGUGUAGAGGUGAAAUUCGUAGAUAUUGGGAAGAACACCGGUGGCGAAGGCGGCACUCUGGCCCGUUUCUGACGCUGAGGCGCGAAAGCGUGGGGAGCAAACAGGAUUAGAUACCCUGGUAGUCCACGCCGUAAACGAUGUGCGCUAGCCGUUGGGCAGCAUGCUGUUCAGUGGCGCAGCUAACGCGUUAAGCGCACCGCCUGGGGAGUACG